AUGCCGCGUGUGUGAAGAAGGCCUGCGGGUUGUAAAGCACUUUAAGCAGGGAAGAAUGGGCUAAAGCUAAUACCUUUGGUCAGUGACGUUACCUGCAGAAUAAGCACCGGCUAACUCCGUGCCAGCAGCCGCGGUAAUACGGAGGGUGCGAGCGUUAAUCGGAAUUACUGGGCGUAAAGCGCGCGUAGGCGGUUGGCUAAGUUUGCUGUGAAAGCCCCGGGCUUAACCUGGGAACUGCAGUGAAUACUGGUCGGCUAGAGUAUGGUAGAGGGUAGUGGAAUUUCCGGUGUAGCAGUGAAAUGCGUAGAGAUCGGAAGGAACACCAGUGGCGAAGGCGGCUAUCUGGACCAAUACUGACGCUGAGGUGCGAAAGCGUGGGGAGCAAACAGGAUUAGAUACCCUGGUAGUCCACGCCCUAAACGAUGAGAACUAGCCGUUGGGUCCGGUUACGGAUUUAGUGGCGCAGCUAACGCGUUAAGUUCUCCGCCUGGGGAGUACGGACGCAAGGUUAAAACUCAAAUGAAUUGACGGGGGCCCGCACAAGCGGUGGAGCAUGUGGUUUAAUUCGAUGCAACGCGAAGAACCUUACCUGGUCUUGACAUCCUGCGAACUUUCUAGAGAUAGAUUGGUGCCUUCGGGAACGCAGAGACAGGUGCUUGCUGGGUGUCGUCAGCUCGUGUCCGUGACAUGUGGGGUCAGUCCCGUAAGGAGGGCACCCUUGUCUUUAUUGCAUCUUCCGUUGGGACUCUAAGGG
This 754-nucleotide ribosomal RNA is filed under the name uncultured bacterium. Its description in RNAcentral is "bacterial SSU rRNA". It matches the Rfam family "Bacterial small subunit ribosomal RNA", at positions 394 to 1146 of the family's 1533-position model. The record is from RNAcentral.